UGAUGGCGAGUGGCGAACGGGUGAGUAAUGCAUCGGAACGUACCGUGUAAUGGGGGAUAACGUAGGCGAAAGUUACGCUAAUACCGCAUAUUCUGUGCGCAGGAAAGCAGGGGACCUUCGGGCCUUGUGCUGAUUGAGCGGCCGAUAUCAGAUUAGCUAGUUGGUGAGGUAAAGGCUCACCAAGGCGACGAUCCUGUAGCGGGGUCUGAGAGGAUGAUCCGCCACACUGGAACUGAGACACGGUCCAGACUCCUACGGGAGGCAGCAGUGGGGAACAUUGGACAAUGGGGGGAACCCUGAUCCAGCCAUGCCGCGUGUGUGAAGAAGGCCUUUUGGUUGUAAAGCACUUUAAGCGAGGAGGAGGAGCUCUAGAUUAAUACUCUAGAUGCUUGGACGUUACUCGCAGAAUAAGCACCGGCUAACUCUGUG
This 429-nucleotide ribosomal RNA is filed under the name uncultured bacterium. RNAcentral describes it as "bacterial SSU rRNA". It matches the Rfam family "Bacterial small subunit ribosomal RNA", at positions 86 to 507 of the family's 1533-position model. The record is from RNAcentral.